AUACAUAGGCUCCAAGCGUUGUUCGGAAUUACUGGGCGUAAAGCGAGUGUAGGCGGCCUGUCCAGUCGAUUGUGAAAUCUCCCGGCUCAACUGGGAGGGUGCGGUCGAAACUGGCAGGCUAGAGUUCGGGAGAGGAGAGUGGAAUUCCUGGUGUAGCGGUGAAAUGCGUAGAUAUCAGGAGGAACACCGGAGGUGAAGACGGCUCUCUGGACCGAUACUGACGCUGAGACUCGAAAGCGUGGGGAGCAAACAGGAUUAGAAACCCCAGUAGUCC
Molecule: ribosomal RNA, 274 nt
Filed under: uncultured bacterium
Lineage: Bacteria
Description: partial 16S ribosomal RNA
Rfam family: Bacterial small subunit ribosomal RNA
Source: RNAcentral